RNAcentral lists this transfer RNA (72 nucleotides) under Camelus bactrianus (Bactrian camel). It matches the Rfam family "tRNA". Rfam says of the family: Transfer RNA (tRNA) molecules are approximately 80 nucleotides in length. Their secondary structure includes four short double-helical elements and three loops (D, anti-codon, and T loops). The record is from Rfam by way of RNAcentral. Lineage: Eukaryota; Metazoa; Chordata; Mammalia; Artiodactyla; Camelidae. RNAcentral also lists the same sequence under 2 other names.
GAGGGUACAGCUGAGUGGCAGAGCACAUGCCUAGCAUGUACCAGGUCCUGGGUUCGAUCCCCAGUACCUCCA